Molecule: ribosomal RNA, 423 nt
Filed under: Triticum aestivum (bread wheat)
Lineage: Eukaryota; Viridiplantae; Streptophyta; Magnoliopsida; Poales; Poaceae
Description: partial small subunit ribosomal RNA
Source: RNAcentral
AUGAGGGCUGUCGGGUCCGAGGAGGAGCGGGCGGCAAGGCAACAGGCACGCUGCGAGCAGCGCAACGCCGCCCGACGCUCCGCAUUCGCUAAGUUGGACGCAGCGCCGCAAUGGGUCCGCAACGACCCAGACCUCCCUGCCACCUGGGCCCUCGACCGCUCCAUCACCACCGCGGAGACUGCAGCCAAGCGCCGCCUUGACGGCGAGCUUGCCAAGAUCGGUGAGGACUGGUUGCUUAGCGAUUCCUUCGCCAACGCUGGCAGGGGCAAGGCCGCCGCCUGUGCUCCGCAGGUGCCGUCGGCAUUGUCUGCGGCGGCCCUCCGACCGCGCAGGAGGAAGUGGAGCGGCUCCUCCGCAAGUGCAAGCUACGGCCGGACAAGGCUGUCGCGGCCCACCGGCGCCCUACCACAGCUGGAGGGAUGA